RNAcentral lists this non-coding RNA (85 nucleotides) under Stenotrophomonas sp. yr243. RNAcentral also lists the same sequence under 1 other name. Lineage: Bacteria; Pseudomonadati; Pseudomonadota; Gammaproteobacteria; Lysobacterales; Lysobacteraceae. The record is from RNAcentral.
CCUUAUGGCGGGCGGUGCGUGGGGCCUGGUGCCCACCGUUUUCGCGUUUGAGCGGUCUUUCAACCACGCAUCGCCUGCCGCCUUU